CGCAAGGGGAGUGGCAGACGGGUGAGUAACACGUGGGAACCUUUCCCUAUAGUACGGAAUAGCCCAGGGAAACUUGGAGUAAUACCGUAUACGCCCGAAAGGGGAAAGAAUUUCGCUACAGGAUGGGCCCGCGUAGGAUUAGCUAGUUGGUGAGGUAAUGGCUCACCAAGGCGACGAUCCUUAGCUGGUUUGAGAGAACGACCAGCCACACUGGGACUGAGACACGGCCCAGACUCCUACGGGAGGCAGCAGUGGGGAAUAUUGGACAAUGGGCGAAAGCCUGAUCCAGCCAUGCCGCGUGAGUGAUGAAGGCCUUCGGG
Molecule: ribosomal RNA, 320 nt
Filed under: uncultured bacterium
Lineage: Bacteria
Description: bacterial SSU rRNA
Rfam family: Bacterial small subunit ribosomal RNA
Source: RNAcentral